RNAcentral lists this unclassified non-coding RNA (378 nucleotides) under plant metagenome. RNAcentral describes it as "partial contains 5.8S ribosomal RNA, internal transcribed spacer 2, and large subunit ribosomal RNA". The stretch from base 1 to 105 matches the Rfam family "5.8S ribosomal RNA", at positions 50 to 154 of the family's 154-position model. The record is from RNAcentral.
GAAAUGCGAUAAGUAAUGUGAAUUGCAGAAUUCAGUGAAUCAUCGAAUCUUUGAACGCACCUUGCGCUCCUUGGUAUUCCUUGGAGCAUGCCUGUUUGAGUAUCAUGAAAUCUUCAAAGUAAAUCUUUUGUUAACUCACUUGGUUUCUACUUUGGUAUUGGAGGUCUUUGCAGCUUCACGCCUGCUCCUCUUUGUUCAUUAGCUGGAUCUCAGUGUUAUGCUUGGUUCCACUCGGCGUGAUAAGUUAUCUAUCGCUGAGGACACUGUAAAAGGUGGCCAAGGUAAAUGCAGAUGAACCGCUUCUGAUAGUCCAUUGACUUGGACAAUACUUUUAUGAUCUGAUCUCAAAUCAGGUAGGACUACCCGCUGAACUUAAGC